This 1261-nucleotide ribosomal RNA is filed under the name Niphargus fontanus. RNAcentral describes it as "partial 28S ribosomal RNA". It matches the Rfam family "Eukaryotic large subunit ribosomal RNA", at positions 1357 to 2198 of the family's 3401-position model. Lineage: Eukaryota; Metazoa; Arthropoda; Malacostraca; Amphipoda; Niphargidae. The record is from RNAcentral.
AAGGCUUCAGUACGACCCAGUCAGAACUAUAAGUCUCAAAGCCCCGACGAGUAGGGUGGCGUGCCGGUGCGCGUUGAAGGCCAAGACGUGAGUCAGGCUGGAGCCGCCGGUAGUGCAGAUCUUGGUGGUAGUAGCAAGUACUCUGGUGAACCAACCUGGAGCUGUGAGGUCUGGAUCAGGGUUCCAUGUCAACAGUGAUUGAACAUGGGUGAGUCGAUCCUAAGCCAACUGUGAAAGCAGUGACAUCCCGACAAAGGGGCAUUACAUGCGCUUUCUCUCUCGCUGGCACUGUCUGUAUGACGAUAAAGUGUCUGUCUGGUACGGAAAACGCGCGCACGCACGGUGAUCACUACAAAUACGUGUGAGUGUGUGCGCGGCUGUCUUGUUACGCUCAUAAGCGUUGUUGCUCUCUGGGAUAAAGGAAAAAGCGAGAGAGAGUUAUAGCUCCUGCAUGAGCCCCCUGCGUCUGGUUCUAUGUCUGGCGAAAGGGAAUGGGGACUUUGUUCCUUGACCGGUCCCGGCACCCUCGAUUGGCUUUGCCAAUUAAUGGUCCAUGCAAAUGGAACCAGGCCACAGCCGCCGGCAGUCGCCCGAGGAAGAGUUUUCUUUUCUGCUUAACGCACGAGGUCAUCCCUGGAAACAGUUCGGCUGGCGAAAGGGUGCCCCGUUGCGGCAGAGCGCCACGACUGUCGUGCGCGUCUCGGUGUUCCUGCCGGUCCGUGAAGACGUGGUCGAGGGGAUUGCUCUUGUAUCAACGAAACGCCCGACAAGUUCGGGACGGACCGUACCCUAUAUCCGCAUCUGGUCUCCAAGGUUCGUAGCCUCUGCAGAGUCAGACACAUGUAGGUAAGGGAAGUCGGCAAACUCGAUCCGUAACUUCGGGAAAAGGAUUGGCUCUGAGGGCCGAGCUGGGCCGGGCCUUGCCUGCAAAGCAGUACCUAUAGUGACCGGAGUUUCAGGAGUGCGAGGGGCUCUAGUAGCUGCUUGGGCGUGUGUGCGUUCGCGCGUGCGCGCGUGUGGGCACGAACGAGUCCACCGCUCCGCUCCAACCACGAACGGCUGUGACGGCAAGGGCUCUGGGCGGGAGCGAUCAAUCCGUUGGCCCCCAGCUCGUCUGGGUGGCGGCGGUGCUCCGUCUGACCCAUACGGCUCCAGCGGCUAGCGGCUAACUCAGAACUGUCAUGGACCAAGGGAAUCCGACUGUCUAAUUAAAACAAAGCGUCGUGACGGCCCCUGUUGGGUGUUGACGCGACGUGAUUUC